Molecule: long non-coding RNA, 526 nt
Filed under: Rattus norvegicus (Norway rat)
Lineage: Eukaryota; Metazoa; Chordata; Mammalia; Rodentia; Muridae
Description: long non-coding RNA NONRATT001087
Source: RNAcentral
UUGCCUAGCAAGCACAAGGCCCUGGGUUUGGUCCCCAGCUCCGAAAAAAAACAAAACAAAAAAAAAAAAAAAAAAAAAAAAAACAAAGGUCUUAUGUGCUUGCUUGUUGGGUAGGUAUUCUCACAGAUUUAGAAAGAAAGCAAUGAGCACAAAGGCAGAGUCCCCAAAACAAGUGUUUUUUAUCAUGUGACCAAGCGAAAGCAGGACCCCUUGUCUGUACAUUUUGCCCCACUUCUGGCAUACAAAGGCAGCCUGGUGGAGAUGCUAAAAUGGCUCUGAGAUCUGAUUCAAACCACCUUAAUCUCUUUUCCUUCCAGAUUGAGAACAUCUCUAAGGACCUCUACAUAGAAGUCUAUCCAGGGACCUAUUCUGUCACUGUGGGCUCAGGUGCCUUAAGCAAGAAGACGCAUGUGGUUGCAGUUGACUCGGGGCAAAGUGUGGACUUGGUGUUCCCCGUAUGAUGUUGACAUCACUGCCAUCAUUUCACUCUAAGAAGAAGAAUAAAACCACCCUAUAACUGUCUUAA